This 68-nucleotide transfer RNA is filed under the name Cricetulus griseus (Chinese hamster). It matches the Rfam family "tRNA". Rfam says of the family: Transfer RNA (tRNA) molecules are approximately 80 nucleotides in length. Their secondary structure includes four short double-helical elements and three loops (D, anti-codon, and T loops). Further hydrogen bonds mediate the characteristic L-shaped molecular structure. tRNAs have two regions of fundamental functional importance: the anti-codon, which is responsible for specific mRNA codon recognition, and the 3' end, to which the tRNAs corresponding amino acid is attached (by aminoacyl-tRNA synthetases). tRNAs cope with the degeneracy of the genetic code in two manners: having more than one tRNA (with a specific anti-codon) for a particular amino acid; and 'wobble' base-pairing, i.e. permitting non-standard base-pairing at the 3rd anti-codon position. Lineage: Eukaryota; Metazoa; Chordata; Mammalia; Rodentia; Cricetidae. The record is from Rfam by way of RNAcentral.
GAGAUAGCUCAGUUGGUAAAGUGCUUGCCUGGUAAGCAGGAAGACUUGAGUUUGAUUCCCAGGACUCA